GCUCUGGAAGCUGGGUUGGGGGAGGAAGCCUGGUGGCUCUGACCUCCCCUGGAGGCGCAGGAGGCCCAGCCAUGACACUCUUAGUGGAUGCCACGCCCCUGGUGAAGGAGCCCCACCCCCUGCCUGUGGCCCCACGUCCCUGGGUCCUCCCCAGCCUGUUUGCUGCCUUCAAUGUAGUGCUGCUGGUCUUUUUCAGUGGCCUCUUCUUCGCAUUCCCUCUCAUUUCACUCAACUUCUCAGACCCUGGCAUCUUACAUCAAGGCUCCGCUGAGCAGGGCCCCUUGACGGUGCACGUGGUGUGGGUGAACCACAGGGCCUUCCGCCUGCAGUGGUGUCCAAAGUGCUGCUUCCACCGCCCACCCCGGACCUACCACUGCCCCUGGUGCAACAUCUGUGUGGAGGUGAGUGCCCCUUUACCUGUCCACCAGCCAUCGCCCCACAUCUGGCUGGGACCAGGAGCCUCCCUCAUACAGGGGCCAGGGCUGGGUGUGAAGCUGUCUUUCAGGACUGCUAAAGGCCAAGGGUGGCAGUAACUCCCAGCCACCCUUGGUCACUCAUGUGUUCUCCACCUGCACCUGUCCUGGGAGGCUGGCCAUUGCCUGCAGGGGUGCUGACAUGCACAGGGCAUCCACAUCUGUCCUGGGCUGGGUCAGGCCAGGGGAGGAGAGGCAGUCCUCUGUCCCACCCCUGGGCUUGCUAACAUGAGAUACCCAAGCCCCUCAGGCUGGCUGCCCGCCUGGUCUGGGAGGCCUUGCCUGUCCUUGCCUGGGUGUCCAAGUUGGAGGGUCUCCUGGCUCUGAGUGACCAUCUCUCUCGAGAGCACGGCUUGCAUAGGUUUACAAGUGCAGGAGGCUGGCUGGGCAAGGGUGUUACUGUUACUGUCAUCUUCAUCGAAUGGAUGAGAAAGUGGAGGCCCAGAGAUGGUUUACGUUCUGCCCAAAGUUACAGUAGGAUGUGUCUCACAGAAGGCCAGGCCAGCCUUCUCGCUAAAGGUCUUCUGACAGGACUUUGACCACCACUGCAAGUGGGUCAAUAACUGCAUUGGUCACCGCAACUUCCGCUGCUUCAUGCUGCUCGUCCUGUCCCUGUGCCUCUACUCAGGCGCCAUGCUGGUCACCUGUCUCAUCUUCCUGGUGCGCACAACCCGCCUGCCCUUCUCCGCCGACAAGGCCAUCGCCAUCGUGGUAGCUGUGUCCGCCGCGGGCUUCCUGGUGCCGCUGUCCCUCCUGCUGCUGAUCCAGGCCGUGUCCGUGAGCUCCGCCGACCGCACCUACAAGGGCAAGGCACCUUCAGGGAUACAACCCCUUCGACCAGGGCUGUGCCAGCAACUGGUAUUUAACAAUUUGUGCACCACUGGGACCCAAGUACAUGGCUGAAGCUGUCCAGCUGCAGAGAGUGGUGGGGCCUGACUGGACAUCCAUGCCGAACCUGCACCCUCCAAUGUCCCCCUCUGCUCUCAACCCCCCAGCCCGCCCUGGCCCCCAGCCCCAACCUCUGGAUCCCUCCAAACCAGGGAAGGGUCCCCCAGGGCGUGGUGAGGCUGCAGUUCUCCAGGAGUUCCACACGGGCCCAGUGCUGCCCCUGCUGCUGCAGGAGCCCCCAGGCGAGGUUCGGCCUUCCUCUCGCCCCUGUGCACCCGGAGAUGCCCGCAGCACCAGCACCUGAGCUCACCUCCUGAAUCCACCUCCUGAACCCGCGUCCUGAUUCCGCCUCCUGAACCCGCCUCCUGAACCCGCCUCCUUACCUCCCACUUCCUGAGCCCUCAGUGGAACCCUUUCUGUGCCCUGCCUUUACCCACUCCCCUGGUGGGACUGCCAAGACCCUCAAUGCCCAUUAAAUACCCUUGCCUGCCUCUUA
Molecule: small RNA, 1857 nt
Filed under: Pongo abelii (Sumatran orangutan)
Lineage: Eukaryota; Metazoa; Chordata; Mammalia; Primates; Hominidae
Description: retained intron
Source: RNAcentral